UCCGUAGGCGGGCAAUUAAGUCAGAGGUGAAAUCCCACAGCUCAACUGUGGAACUGCCUUUGAUACUAGUUGUCUUGAGUUAUAGUGAAGUAGAUAGAAUAUGUAGUGUAGCGGUGAAAUGCAUAGAUAUUACAUAGAAUACCGAUUGCGAAGGCAGUCUACUAACUGUAUACUGACGCUAAUGGACGAAAGCGUGGGGAGCGAACAGGAUUAGAUACCCUGGUAGUCC
This 229-nucleotide ribosomal RNA is filed under the name uncultured bacterium. RNAcentral's name for it is "partial 16S ribosomal RNA". It matches the Rfam family "Bacterial small subunit ribosomal RNA", at positions 568 to 796 of the family's 1533-position model. The record is from RNAcentral.